AAUUAAAAAUUUCAUCCAUUUGUACUAUUAAAAACUAGCGUAGCUGAUGAAUAGUCAGAUAGUAACACAUGGCAUGCCACGUGUGCCUCAUGUUAACGUACAAUGAUUAGUUUUUAACAAUAAAAAUUGAUGAAAUUUUUAACA
Non-coding RNA from Gossypium raimondii (Peruvian cotton), 144 nucleotides. Lineage: Eukaryota; Viridiplantae; Streptophyta; Magnoliopsida; Malvales; Malvaceae. The record is from Rfam.